This is an RNA transcript of Lolium rigidum, 5445 nucleotides long. It is a transcript of the gene named protein FAR1-RELATED SEQUENCE 5-like, with no coding region annotated. The record is from RefSeq and is a predicted model, not a curated record. Lineage: Eukaryota; Viridiplantae; Streptophyta; Magnoliopsida; Poales; Poaceae. The transcript has 3 exons.
UCCGUCAGGUCCGCCGUCGUCGCCGUCCUCCGCGCUGCCUGGACGCUCGACGGGUUUCUGCUUCUCCACAGAAGGUGCGGAGGCAUCAUAGAUCCAGAGAGAGGCCUAGAGUAGUUUUCUUGGUUUUCGGAUUGUGCAUCAGAGAGUGGCGGCUGCUGCUUGCUGGUUUGUUGGUUCUUGAUUUGCUUCUGUGGUGGAGAGAAGGGUUAAGGAGACGAGGGAGGGUAUUAAGGGAGAGGGCAAUGGAGGUCGGGGAGCAGGCGAUGAUGGAGUCCCAUGGGGUGGAACUCGAGGACGACAGCAUCAAUUUCUGGGCCUCCCUCGGUGUGAGCACCCAUGUCCAUGGCGUCGACCAGAUGGCGCUCCACAAUGUCCACAUUCUCGACCACCAAGGACAGUCGCCGGCGGCGGCGGCGGUGGUCUCACACCCGCAAUCUGUCUGCAAGGAGCUGUUCCCUGGCGAAGCCGACCCCUGCCUGGAGCCCCGGGUGGGGAUGGAAUUCGAGUCGGGUGAGGCUGCCAAGACCUUCUACAUUGCUUACGCCGGCCGUGUUGGGUUCUCUGUCCGCAUUGCUAGGUCCCGCAAGUCCAAGGGCAGCGAGUCCAUCAUCAUGCUAAGGUUUGUUUGCUCAAAGGAAGGGUUCAGCAAGGAGAAGCGUGUUGUUGAGGGGAAGAAGACAAGGAAAAGGCCAGCCUCCAUCAGGGAGGGCUGCAACGCCAUGCUUGAGGUGCUCCGCAGAGGUGACAACAAGUGGGUUGCUACCAAGCUUGUCAAGGAGCAUAACCAUGAGGUUGGGAUGCCCAGCACAGUGCACUAUAUAGCCACUGAGAGCGAUACUUUGGUUGACCCAUACAUUGACAUGGAGUUCGAAUCCCUUGAGUCUGCCAAGACAUUCUACUACUCGUAUGCUAUCCGUGUGGGAUUUGAAGUUCGUGUUCGCCAGUCUCGAAAGUCGCAAGAUGAGUCACUCAAAAUGCUGAAGCUUGUGUGUUCAAGGCACCGCUACCAUUCAGGACGGGAAAUUGGGGGAGACGAUAACAAGAGAGUGCAAUCCUCGGAUCCCUGCAGAGACGGUUGUGAUGCACAGUUUGAGAUAAUUCGGAAGGAUAAAGCUGUCUGGAUUGUCUCCAAACUCAUCCUAGAGCAUACUCAUGAGCUGAGCCCUGCACCGGCGAGCAGAGUUUGCUGUGUCCGCUCACAAGGCGAGACACUUGUCAUUGCAAAGAACUUUGCUGACACACGAAAUCUUCUAUUAAAUGGCCAAUAUUCUCAGCAUCAUAGAGAGAUCCGCUAUAAUGAUUUGGGGCCAGAGGAUGCUCAAAGCUUACUUGAAUAUCUUAAAAAGGCCCAGGCCGAGGACCCUGCAUUUUUCUAUGCUGUGCAGCUUGACAAGCACGAGCACAUGGUCAAUAUCUUCUGGGCUGAUGCGAGCGUUAGGAUGGCUUAUUACCACUUUGGUGAUGCUGUUAGGUUUGAGACAGCAUCCAGGAGUAACAAAGAGCAUAUACCUAUUGUCAUAUUUUCAGGUGUCAAUCAUCAUGUCCAGCCUGUUAUUUUUGGCUGUGCACUACUUGUUGAUGAAUCUGAAGAGUCAUUUGUAUGGUUAUUUGAAAAAUGGCUUGAAGCAAUGCAUGGGAGGCCUCCUGUUUCUUUGGUAACAGAACUGAACCAAGAGAUGGCAGCUGCAGCUGUCAAGGUAUUGCCUGACACCUGUCAUAUUUUCUGUGAAAAUCAUAUAUUAGGCACUGUGAAGGAGGAGUUGCAUAGUAUUUAUCCAGGACUAGACCAUUUCAUUACUGAUCUGAGAAACUGCAUUGAUGGAUGCAGAAUAGAAGAAUCAUUUGAAUCAUGCUGGGAAUCAGUUCUCAUUAAACAUGGCUUUAGAAAUAACGAACAUUUACAGUCUCUUUAUGAUAUUCGUAAACAAUGGGCCCCUGCGUACACAAAGAAAUCAUUUCAUGCCAGAAACCUGCUUCCACAAAGCUGUGAAAAUCUUGAAAAGAUUAGAGAUAUGUACUUCUCGUCCAGUACACAAUUACAGGUGGCUGUGCAGCAACUUGGACAAGCUAUUUGUAAUUACCAUGCAAAAGAAGCUCAGGCAGAUUAUCUGACAAUGUUUCAAAUACCAGCACUAAGGACUGCUUCACCAGUGGAGAAACAAGCAAGUGUAAUAUUUUCCAGGAAAGUGUUUGAUAUAUUUCAGGAACAGUUUGCAGAGUCCUUUGGGUACCAUGCAGAGAGGAUCGAGGAUAGGAUGCUACACAAGUACCGUGUGACAGUAGAUGAUGGUGACGAGGAGGCACAUAUUGUCUCUUUCAAUCCAGAUCAGAGUGCAGUGUGUUGUAGUUGUUGCUUGUUCGAGAGCUGUGGAAUCUUGUGCAGGCAUGCUCUUCGAGUUUUCAUCAUCGAAGGAGUGCGUUUCCUUCCAAAGGCCUAUGUCUUGAAACGCUGGUCAAAGCAUGCAAAAAGUACUGUCACCUUGGAUAACUACAUUGAUCUAAGGGGAUACCGUGAGGAUCCUUCAACUUCAAGGUACAAUGAUCUUUGCUAUGAUGCAAUCAAAUGUGCAAAAGAGGGCUCAACAUCUUCCGAGCGCUAUAAAAUAGCUAAAGAGGCACUGCACAAGGCUCUUGAUGAGGUAAUGCCUGUAAGGAACAUUAGACCGCAAAAUCCGCAAAACAGUACAACAUCAUUAAAAAGUCCAGUGAAGAAGUCUGGGACGGAUAAAGGUACCUCUGGCAAGAGCUUAAACAGGCCAGCAUCCAAACAUUCCCUCACGGAGAGCAAUGGUGGUAGAUGACCAGAUAUAAUGAAUUUUAACAUAGCAUGGUAUUACCUAUUCUGACCUUGUAUAGUUGCAGUAUCAUUCAAUCUAGUACUUAUAUCUUAGACUGUAGCUGGCAUCAGCUUUUUUCUGUCAGUGCAUCUAGUAAUGGCAAGGGUGCUACUGAAUUAUUUGAGGCAUUAAUGUUAAAAAAGAAUGUAGGAACAUAUGCCCUGUUUGGGAAUGUUUGUAAAUGGUACUGUGAAAAAGACGAUCUUGUUACAUGGGAGUACAGCCAUAAUUUUCUAUGUACCAUCGCGUGACCAAUACAGCUUACCCUUAUGCUGGUUGUGAUUUAGAUUUUUUGUACUAACACUGUUAAAUAGUGGUUGCUGUGGCCUUAGGUGUUGGCACAUUUGGAAGUGACAGUUGUGCUGCAAAAACUAGUAGUCUAAAUGAGUACUUAUGCAGUUAUUUUAGAUCAGUACUUAUGCAGUUAAUCACAUGUACUGCUUAGGAUAGACAUUUGCAUGGUUGAGUUUUCUGCUUUUCUUUGAUCAUUUAUAUGAAAUGCAGUGUGUUCUCAUGGUCAUUUAUGCUUGCAUAUAUAGGUAGUUGUAUCUUUUACAUUGUUAAACCACUUACAUAGCUUAUCACUAUUCGAUGCAUUCUGCAUUUUUUCACUUCAUAUUCUCGUCUUUGUUAUAUUUUUAUAGACACGGGAAUUAACACUCAUGUGGAUAAGUUGAUUUGUGCCCACAGGGGCCUACUUGAACUUCACAGGCAAUUUCAAAACCUAUUUGAAAUACUUUGAGGUGGGUGAAGGUUAUAUAACACAUACAUAUGAGCCGCCACACUAAGCGUCCAAAUGGGCACUCAAUGAAGAGUUGCUGGUCAUUUCCUCAUUACAAAAACAACAUUGUCAUUUUCCCAUCUAAUUUUGUUUUGCCAGGUUAUCCUUUGAUACAAGGACCCCUGGACAAGGGCAGUGAACAUAAGACUGCACCGUGAACUGGCAGGAUGCAUGUGGAGUCCAUUGGAACGUAUCUGGCUCCUGUGCCAAGGCAAACACCCCAAGCUGUGCCAUAAUGUCGUGCUAAGCAAGGAGUUUAGCACCGAUGAGUGCUCUUGAUUUCUGCAGCAGUACGGAAAAGAGACUGCCAAAGGCCUGAAAAAAGUCAGUGCCAUACAAGGAAUACGGUACAGUUUUGCUUGCUUAUACUAGGAUAUAGCCAUGUGCUGGUUACCCACCAAGGCUGUCCAACAAAUGCGGUUGCGGUUACGCAAUUUUUCAGAUUCUGAGUUCGCCAUUUCUCUAGUACUACGAAUCAAUAAAGAUGAACAUAAUGCACUGACUGCUAUGCCCAUUUUUUGAUGAUAAGUUGGUAGCGAUGUGAAAUACAACACCAGCUCUUCUAUCAUCUCUGGAAUGUAUUGCUUUUUUUCUUUUUCGAGAAUACACCCUGGAAAGGUGCUUCAAUCUCUGGAAUGUAUUGCAGCAGGGGGAAGUUGUUCAAUUCUGCUGUUCAGCAAGCUUGUCGAAACUGUAAGUUAGUGCACAUAUGCUUCUUGAGCUUUAUAUGUUUCAGAAGAAGCAUUACGCUUCUGUCAACCAUUUUCUCAACCUAACAGUUUACCAGAGUGCUGAUGGCGAAAUGAAUAGUGGCACGGAGUUGUUGAAGAGAAGCCUGUACUCUCCAUUAUGGGAGCAAGUGUAAAGAAAAAGGUGCCACCUUCCCAUGAUAUGUCCUCAUCCACAGUCCAUAGUUCAUAGCAAAUCUGAUCUCGCUGCAGGAAGUUGCAGGUUGCUGUUGGAUCAGUUGAAGUUUUGCUGGAACAGCACGCUACAUGCGUGUAAUGCCAAAGCUGUGUACAGUGAAAGGCUUGAGCACAGAGAGAAGGAUCAUCGUGCCAAGAUGGAUCGGUCAAUACAGAAAGCAACGUAUGCAUGGUGCAAGAACUAGCUCGAGGAGGAUCCUUCAGUACAUUGACAGUUUGCACACUGGCCACUGUGACAUCUUACCUGAGAACAGAAAAUGCGAGGAUGAACACCGACACCUCAAUCUCUGGCGUGUUUACAAAAGAAGCAGCGUGUCAUGUGCAGGCUCUUGCCUGAUCAUCAUCUUCCAUGUGUGCAAAGUGGAGGAGAUGAAAGCAGCUUUGAUGGUGGGUAUUCUUUCAGUUGCAGGUUGGAUAGUUAGGUGUUGUUGUAGCUGUCAGGAUCUGAAUGGAAGCAUUGCAAAACUUCUUAAACUUCCAGGCCCAGGGGUGGACGUGUCCCAACAGUGGGUGCUUGAUUCUUCCUUGUAGAUCCUGUCUCCAUCUGCGUUGUUCAUCCCCACCAGAACCCCGCUGCGCUGCACCAGCCCACAGUAUCAGUAUCGUCAUCGUCGCUGCGGCGAGAUAGGAUAUGUGUGCCGUGUGUUGUCGCUGGCAUGGAGCUUGUGGCCGGACCGGAUAGAGCACCAUGCGGGCCUGCCAUUGGCCACCACGGGGCAUGCCUGCCUUUACCUUCUCCAGUUCUCCUUGGUUUUUUGCUUUGCUGAGUUCAUGUGCAGAAUUGUGGAGUAUAUAUUUGCACGGUUGCUGUAGCUCCAGUGCUCCAAUUCAACCCUUCCUUCUAAGAUAUGGUUAAAUUAUGUAUUCAUCAAUUAUAUUGUAUUUUUUGGCGCUUGUAUUC